This 253-nucleotide ribosomal RNA is filed under the name uncultured bacterium. RNAcentral describes it as "partial 16S ribosomal RNA". It matches the Rfam family "Bacterial small subunit ribosomal RNA", at positions 524 to 776 of the family's 1533-position model. The record is from RNAcentral.
UACGGGGGGGGUAAGCGUUGUUCGGAAUUACUGGGCGUAAAGGGCGCGUAGGCGGCCUUCUAAGUCGAACGUGAAAUCCCUGGGCUCAACCCAGGAACUGCGUCCGAGACUGGUGGGCUCGAAUCCGGGAGAGGGAUGUGGAAUUCCAGGUGUAGCGGUGAAAUGCGUAGAUAUCUGGAGGAACACCGGUGGCGAAGGCGACAUCCUGGACCGGUAUUGACGCUGAGGCGCGAAAGCCAGGGGAGCAAACGGG